Patella vulgata (common limpet) is the source of this 476-nucleotide long non-coding RNA. RefSeq lists it as uncharacterized. The transcript has 4 exons. The record is from RefSeq and is a predicted model, not a curated record. NCBI's taxonomy places the organism in Eukaryota, Metazoa, Mollusca, Gastropoda, Patellidae.
GAUUAUUUAUCGCUACUUCAUUUUAGUCAAUGUAUCCAACCAUGUUGAAAUUAAUAGUAGCUUGUGCCGUUAUUGCGUUCGUUGCUGCCCAAACAGACGUCCCCACUACUCAACACGCACACCACAACAGCCAUGCACCACAUUCACGUGCUACCCAUCAGACUGAUGUUCCUCAUUCAUCUAAAUCUCCUCAUGUAUCUAAAGCUCCACAUGGAGAGAAUUUCCACUUCUUUCACGAUGAAAUGCUUAGCAAAUUGGUCAUCCGGACAUCAACAGAAUGUUUUGUCUUCUCUCUGACAGAUGCCCAACAGAUGGCUGUCAAAACCCCCACUGGUCUUAGAGCUACAGAGGUUGCCUUGGUCGCUAUGAUUGGUACUGCCACUCAAACAGCCAUCCAACCAAGUGAUCUCAGUAAACAUGCUGCCAAACAUUGCCAAAAUCACCAAUCAUUUGCUCUUUCUCAAUAAUCAUAUACG